RNAcentral lists this ribosomal RNA (263 nucleotides) under Cylindrospermopsis raciborskii C04. RNAcentral describes it as "partial 23S ribosomal RNA". It matches the Rfam family "Bacterial large subunit ribosomal RNA", at positions 2663 to 2925 of the family's 2925-position model. The record is from RNAcentral. Lineage: Bacteria; Bacillati; Cyanobacteriota; Cyanophyceae; Nostocales; Aphanizomenonaceae.
UGAGAGGAGUCCUCCUUAGUACGAGAGGACCGGGAGGAACGAACCGCUGGUGUACCAGUUAUUCCGCCAGGAGUAGACGCUGGGUAGCCAAGUUCGGAGAGGAUAACCGCUGAAAGCAUCUAAGUGGGAAGCCCACCUUAAGAUGAGUGUUCUCACUACGAGAGUAGGUAAGGUCACGGGGAGAACACCCGUUAAUAGGCUUUAUGUGGAAGUACAGUAAUGUAUGUAGCAGAGAAGUCCUAACAGACCGAGGGCUUGACCUC